GAUGAACGCUGGCGGCGUGCCUAAUACAUGCAAGUCGAGCGAACAGACGAGGAGCUUGCUCCUCUGACGUUAGCGGCGGACGGGUGAGUAACACGUGGAUAACCUCCCUAUCAGACUGGGAUAACUUCGGGAAACCGGCGCUAAUACCGGAUAAUAUAUUGAACCGCAUGGUUCAAUAGUGAGAGACGGUUUUUCUGUCUCUUAUAGAUGGAUCCGCGCCGCAUUAGCUAGUUGGUAAGGUAACGGCUUACCACGGCAAGGAUGCGUAGACGACGUGAGAGAGUGGUAGGCCACACUGGAGCUGAGACACGGACCAGACGCCUACGAGAGGCAGCAGAAGGGAAUCGGACGCAAUGGGCGAAAGCCUGACGGAGCAACGCCGAGUGAGUGAUAAAGGUCUUCGGAUCGUAAAGCUCUGUUAUUAGGGAAGAACAAAUGUGUAAGGAACUAUGCACGUAUUGACGGUACCUAAUCAGAAAGCCACGGCUAACUACGUG
RNAcentral lists this ribosomal RNA (497 nucleotides) under uncultured bacterium. Its description in RNAcentral is "partial 16S ribosomal RNA". It matches the Rfam family "Bacterial small subunit ribosomal RNA", at positions 28 to 507 of the family's 1533-position model. The record is from RNAcentral.